Long non-coding RNA from Globicephala melas (long-finned pilot whale), 1412 nucleotides. RefSeq lists it as uncharacterized. The record is from RefSeq and is a predicted model, not a curated record. Lineage: Eukaryota; Metazoa; Chordata; Mammalia; Artiodactyla; Delphinidae.
GCAGUCCCUCUGAGCCCGCCCCCUCCCCACUUCCUGCUCAAGGUCACGGCUGCUGCUCAGGGUCAGGGAGAGUCGAACCGGAACCGGGUCUCGUAGUCCCCGCCCGAGAUGGGCUGUCUCCGUAGGGCCAGCUCCUUCGGCCCAGCCUCCCCAGCCCACUGCAGCUCGAGGCUCCAUUAUUGGCCUCAGGAGCCCCGUAGCCAUUUGGGAUCUCUAAGCCCCUCUCCUCGCCGUCCUCCUCCUCCUCCUCGACUGCGGGCACCUGCCUCUCCCAGGGAUGCCCAGAGAGGUUCCCGCCAGAAUGCGCCUGACCUGACGUCAGUCCUCAGUACAUACUUACUGAGUGAGGGAUGGAAUACCGCAGUAGGCGGGAAGCAAAGAGAAGGUCUGCUGGCACUUGGAUUGCUCCCGCCCUCUGUUCUGGUGAUGUCUUUGUCCUCACGAAGCUGUCAAAGCUCUGCUGUUGCCAUCAGAGCAGAUAGAACACAGCCAGAGCCGCCAUAACACCGCAGGGCCUGGGCAGCUCCCGGGCUCUGCUUUCUCUUCACACCCCUCCCAACAUAAACCGCUCCCAACCCUGCCCUUCCCAUCCUCCCGCGGCACCCCCGCCCGCGCCGCCCAUCCUGUCACUCUCGGGAGCAGUUUGCAUUGUUCCUGACAAUUCGGCAGACCUUGGUGAAGCUCUCCACUGAGACACCUGCUUUCCUGCUUGUAAGAGAGUGAAGGCUUCUAACACUUCUGUGCAAUUCCUGCCACUCAGGUCUUGGCGACCUUCAUCUAAUCUGAUUUCGUAGACAUACCAAGCUUAAAUGUAUUUUGAAUUUACUUACAUCAACAUAUUUCACACUAAAGUCCACUUAAUUUUAGCUAUUGCAUAAAAAUGCUUUUAAUACAGAAGACAUUAACUCAUUAGAUGGGGCCAAAAAAUGAAACAUGGAUAAAGUUAAAUAUCAUACAAUUCACAUAAUAUCUUACAUUUUAAUUUAAAAAACCCCCAAAACCCAAAAAAGCCGGUGAAGGCCAACUCCUCCAGGAAGCUGAUUAAGUGAACUAUAAUUGUUUAUUCCCCAUGCAAUGAACAAAAUAAAAACAAUUUUUAAAAGUGAGUCCAAUGAAACUUUUAAAUACUACAGAAUGGGGAGGGUGGAGGAGGCCUUCUCAUCUCUAAUUUCACACUGCCAGAGAGGGGGCAUCUUACGGUUUUCAGGACCAUACCUGGCAUAGAGAAGAAACUAAGUCACAAAGAUAACGAUCUCAGAUUCUCAUCAGAUCGAAGGACCUAGUGAACAUCAUGGGGCCUUCCUCUUUUCACAUUCUUCCAUCCCCUAACUUGGCUGAAAGUGAACGUGAUUUCUCUUCUUUCUCAGAGUCAAAGGGAGUAAUAAUUUUAAACACCGGAUUUUAUCACUGUA